AGUGAACGCUGGCGGUAGGCCUAACACAUGCAAGUCGAACGGCAGCACAGUAAGAGCUUGCUCUUACGGGUGGCGAGUGGCGGACGGGUGAGGAAUACAUCGGAAUCUACUUUUUCGUGGGGGAUAACGUAGGGAAACUUACGCUAAUACCGCAUACGACCUACGGGUGAAGGCAGGGGAUCUUCGGACCUUGCGCGAUUGAAUGAGCCGAUGUCGGAUUAGCUAGUUGGCGGGGUAAAGGCCCACCAAGGCGACGAUCCGUAGCUGGUCUGAGAGGAUGAUCAGCCACACUGGAACUGAGACACGGUCCAGACUCCUACGGGAGGCAGCAGUGGGGAAUAGUGGACAAUGGGCGCAAGCCUGAUCCAGCCAUACCGCGUGGGUGAAGAAGGCCCUCGGGUUGUAAAGCCCUUUUGUUGGGAAAGAACAGCAGCAGGUUAAUACCCCGCUGUUCUGACGGUACCCAAAGAAUAAGCACCGGCUAACUUCGUG
This 492-nucleotide ribosomal RNA is filed under the name uncultured bacterium. Its description in RNAcentral is "partial 16S ribosomal RNA". It matches the Rfam family "Bacterial small subunit ribosomal RNA", at positions 29 to 507 of the family's 1533-position model. The record is from RNAcentral.